UUUUCCGUGCGCGUUCCACGAAAAGAUGAGCGAACCUUGUGUCUUAAAAUACCUCGCGUUCUGAGUCUACCGUUUAGUUUGAAACAAGUUUAUUCGCUUGUUUAUUGGGCCAGCCGCGAUUGCUUGGUGUAGUCCAAGUCUAGUGUAUUUGUGUAUAUAUGUGGGAAAGUAGCACGGGAAGUCUCAAUACUUAACGCUACUUACACAAUCAAUUUCAACGGUUAUUUCUUACGAAUAAGGGUGUUGCUGUUUCAAUUAAAAAGUUCGCCACCGUUAGUUUUCGAGAUUAAUUAAAACGUAAUAAACUUGUGUCUCCAUCUCCUAUUGUUAAGUGAUUUGUGAUCUGGAAGUUGUAAUCAGUGUGUGUGUACAGUGAAUAUGACCUUGGUAGUUUUGAAUAAUUACUUCGACUAGCCAACAUAAUGCAACAGAAGGUUGUUCGUUCUCUGUCGUUUUUUGAUUGUGUUGGUUACAAUAUCGGUCAUCUGAAGCAACUACUUCUAAGGCUACGGCUGUCCACAUUUUGAAAAUGGACGAAAGCAGUAACAUAGUAGAUCCUCCUCAGUUUUCCACUACAUGCGGUGCACUAGAGGACGAUAUCAACAUAAGUGAUGUCAUUGAAGUUAUCCAAGAGGAUCCGGACUUCAAGCAGUCCAAUUCGAAAUCAUCAGCUAUGUAUAACGGAGGACCGGAUACCGAGAACGCUCCUUUGCAAUUGGAGCAGCCUAUAACAGCAGCUCAGGCCCGACGACAUUGUUAUGUUAAAAUUAUUGAACAGCCAGCACCUAAGGCACUUCGUUUUCGUUAUGAAUGCGAAGGAAGAUGUGCCGGAUCAAUUCCUGGAGUUUCAAGUACUCCAGAGAACAAAACGUAUCCUGCUAUUCAGGUGAUAGGUUAUAAAGGAAGAGCUGUCGUGGUGGUCUCGUGCGUCACGAAGGACCCUCCCUACAGGCCUCACCCUCACAAUCUAGUAGGAAGGGAUGGUUGUAGGAAAGGCGUGUGUACCCUGGAAAUUUCACCGGAAACAAUGUCUGUAACUUUUCCAAACUUAGGGAUUCAGUGUGUCAAAAAAAAAGACAUCGAAAGUGCUCUGAGACAGAGAGAAGAAAUUAGAGUUGAUCCAUUUAGAACUGGGUUUUCGCACAGAAACCAACCAACGUCCAUUGAUCUAAAUGCUGUAAGGUUGUGUUUUCAAGUGUUUUUGGAAGGUGAAAGGGGAAGAUUCACGAUACCUUUAACACCGGUAGUUAGCGAAUCCAUUUACGAUAAAAAGGCAAUGUCCGACCUUGUAAUCGUCAAAUUAUCAGACUGCGUAACGACCGUCGAUGGCGGGAAAAAAGAUAUAAUUCUUCUUUGUGAAAAAGUGGCAAAAGAAGAUAUUCAAGUUCGUUUUUACGAAGAAAAGGAAAAUCAAGUGGUGUGGGAGGGUUUCGCUGAUUUCCAGCCCUCUCAGGUUCACAAACAGACUGCAAUUUGGUUUAGACCUCCGCGGUAUAGGACUUUAGAAAUUACGGAACCUGUCAAGGUUUACAUUCAGUUGAGAAGACCUUCAGACGGAUCCACUAGUGAACCUCUUCCUUUUCAAUUCUUACCCUUAGAUUCAGAGCCCGGCAUGUUAAAGCGUAAACGACAGAAACACGAAAAUGACGCGAAAAAUCAAUUAUUAGUGUUUCAGUUACAGGAGCAGGAAACCAAUAAAGCGCAUUUCAACCAACUUCUCAACAUUCCCGUAAAUGCGGUAAAAGUUGAACCCAGAGCUUAUCGUACUACGACGAUGAUAAACCAACUACCUUUUCACAAAUACUAAGAAAAUAUAAAAGAUAAUAGAAAAUACCAUAAAAUUGAAAAAAUAUAUAAUGCAAGAAGUACAUAUGUUAUGCUUUGCAGUGUGUGGUGUUGGAUCAUUACUUAUAGGGAAAGGAUACUAGCCCAGCUCCAUAUGGUGGUCAAGUUUACGGGAAUCCAAUGUAUAUUCCGAAUGCAUCUUCACCACCCCAAC
This 1999-nucleotide unclassified non-coding RNA is filed under the name Agrilus planipennis (emerald ash borer). RNAcentral's name for it is "embryonic polarity protein dorsal, transcript variant X3". The record is from RNAcentral. Lineage: Eukaryota; Metazoa; Arthropoda; Insecta; Coleoptera; Buprestidae.